UGGGGGAUAUUGCACAAUGGGCGAAAGCCUGAUGCAGCGACGCCGCGUGGGGGAUGAAGGCUUUCGGGUUGUAAACCUCUUUCGCUAUCGAACAAGGCCCGCUUAGGGUGGGUUGAGGGUAGGUGGAGAAGAAGCGCCGGCUAACUACGUGCCAGCAGCCGCGGUAAUACGUAGGGCGCGAGCGUUGUCCGGAAUUAUUGGGCGUAAAGGGCUUGUAGGCGGCUUGUUGCGCCUGCUGUGAAAACGCGGGGCUUAACUUCGCGCGUGCAGGGGGUAAGGGCAGGCUUGAGUGUGGUAGGGGUGACUGGAAUUCCAGGUGUAGCGGUGGAAUGCGCAGAUAUCUGGAGGAACACCGAUGGCGAAGGCAGGUCACUGGGCCAUUACUGACGCUGAGGAGCGAAAGCAUGGGUAGCGAACAGG
Molecule: ribosomal RNA, 420 nt
Filed under: bacterium
Lineage: Bacteria
Description: partial 16S ribosomal RNA
Rfam family: Bacterial small subunit ribosomal RNA
Source: RNAcentral